RNAcentral lists this transfer RNA (118 nucleotides) under Diaporthe ampelina. It matches the Rfam family "tRNA". From Rfam's summary of the family: Transfer RNA (tRNA) molecules are approximately 80 nucleotides in length. Their secondary structure includes four short double-helical elements and three loops (D, anti-codon, and T loops). Further hydrogen bonds mediate the characteristic L-shaped molecular structure. tRNAs have two regions of fundamental functional importance: the anti-codon, which is responsible for specific mRNA codon recognition, and the 3' end, to which the tRNAs corresponding amino acid is attached (by aminoacyl-tRNA synthetases). tRNAs cope with the degeneracy of the genetic code in two manners: having more than one tRNA (with a specific anti-codon) for a particular amino acid; and 'wobble' base-pairing, i.e. permitting non-standard base-pairing at the 3rd anti-codon position. The record is from Rfam by way of RNAcentral. Lineage: Eukaryota; Fungi; Ascomycota; Sordariomycetes; Diaporthales; Diaporthaceae.
GGCAACCUGGCCGAGUGGUCUAAGGCGCCAGACUCAAGUGGUUAAGCACUUGCCUGUGGUAUCACACAGGUGCAUUCUGGUCUCGAAAGAGGCGUGAGUUCGACUCUCACGGUUGUCA